GGGGGGGGCAAGCGUUGUUUGGAAUUACUGGGCGUAAAGGGCUUGUAGGUGGCCAACUAAGUCAGACGUGAAAUCCCCAGGCUUAACCUGGGAACUGCGUUUGAUACUGGAUGGCUUGAAUUCGGGAGAGGGAUGCAGAAUUCCAGGUGUAGCGGUGAAAUGCGUAGAUAUUUGGAGGAAUACCGGUGGCGAAGGCGGCAUCCUGGACCGAGAUUGACACUGAGGAGCGAAAGCUAGGGGAGCAAACGGGAUUAGAUACCCCGGUAGUCCUAGCCCUAAACGAUGAAUGCUUGGUGUGACGGGUAUCGAUCCCUGUCGUGCCGAAGCUAACGCAUUAAGCAUUCCGCCUGGGGAGUACGGUCGCAAGGCUG
Molecule: ribosomal RNA, 371 nt
Filed under: uncultured bacterium
Lineage: Bacteria
Description: bacterial SSU rRNA
Rfam family: Bacterial small subunit ribosomal RNA
Source: RNAcentral